UUCUCUUGAGAGCGGCGGACGGGUGAGUAAUGCCUAGGAAUCUGCCUGGUAGUGGGGGAUAACGCUCGGAAACGGACGCUAAUACCGCAUACGUCCUACGGGAGAAAGCAGGGGACCUUCGGGCCUUGCGCUAUCAGAUGAGCCUAGGUCGGAUUAGCUAGUUGGUGAGGUAAUGGCUCACCAAGGCGACGAUCCGUAACUGGUCUGAGAGGAUGAUCAGUCACACUGGAACUGAGACACGGUCCAGACUCCUACGGGAGGCAGCAGUGGGGAAUAUUGGACAAUGGGCGAAAGCCUGAUCCAGCCAUGCCGCGUGUGUGAAGAAGGUCUUCGGAUUGUAAAGCACUUUAAGUUGGGAGGAAGGGCAGUAAAUUAAUACUUUGCUGUUUUGACGUUACCGACAGAAUAAGCACCGGCUAACUCUGUGCCAGCAGCCGCGGUAAUACAGAGGGUGCAAGCGUUAAUCGGAAUUACUGGGCGUAAAGCGCGCGUAG
RNAcentral lists this ribosomal RNA (494 nucleotides) under Pseudomonas sp. RNAcentral describes it as "bacterial SSU rRNA". It matches the Rfam family "Bacterial small subunit ribosomal RNA", at positions 84 to 574 of the family's 1533-position model. The record is from RNAcentral. Lineage: Bacteria; Pseudomonadati; Pseudomonadota; Gammaproteobacteria; Pseudomonadales; Pseudomonadaceae.